GGGGAUUUAGCUCAGUGGUAGAGCGCUUACCUAGGAAGCACAAGACCCUGGGUUCGGUCCCCAGCUCCA
Molecule: non-coding RNA, 69 nt
Organism: Rattus norvegicus (Norway rat)
Lineage: Eukaryota; Metazoa; Chordata; Mammalia; Rodentia; Muridae
Source: Rfam